This 77-nucleotide transfer RNA is filed under the name Corynebacterium accolens. RNAcentral describes it as "tRNA-Pro". It matches the Rfam family "tRNA". From Rfam's summary of the family: Transfer RNA (tRNA) molecules are approximately 80 nucleotides in length. The record is from RNAcentral. Lineage: Bacteria; Bacillati; Actinomycetota; Actinomycetes; Mycobacteriales; Corynebacteriaceae. RNAcentral also lists the same sequence under 13 other names.
CGGACUAUGGCGCAGUUUGGUAGCGCACUACACUGGGGGUGUAGGGGUCGCAGGUUCAAAUCCUGUUAGUCCGACCA